This 318-nucleotide long non-coding RNA is filed under the name Carica papaya (papaya). Its description in RNAcentral is "long non-coding RNA (CPAP_LNC007710)". The record is from RNAcentral. Lineage: Eukaryota; Viridiplantae; Streptophyta; Magnoliopsida; Brassicales; Caricaceae.
CUCGGUGAGAUCCAUAAAAUAACAUAUGAAAGCAAUAACAUUAUCAUCAUCUCAUCAAAAGAUAUGAACUGUAUGACAUAAUACUUACCACGCCUUUGUAUUUCAAUCAUUGAACAACACAUUUUCGUCAUUUACCAGCCUACUAGUAUUCAUGGGGAUCCAUAGGGGUCCCGCUACCUGUGAACCCUUAACAUUUAUAUCCAGAUUCCAGAGCCGUCCCCAUACCCCGUCCGGUAUGGGCACCAAAACUAUAAACCUCAAUACCCCAUCCGGUAUAGGCGCCAAAACACAUAAGGUCUCCAUACCCCGUCCGGUAUG